UAGUGGCGAACGGGUGAGUAACACGUGGGCAAUCUGCCCUUCACUCUGGGACAAGCCCUGGAAACGGGGUCUAAUACCGGAUAAUACCUGCCUGGGCAUCUGGGUGGGUUGAAAGCUCCGGCGGUGAAGGAUGAGCCCGCGGCCUAUCAGCUUGUUGGUGAGGUAGUGGCUCACCAAGGCGACGACGGGUAGCCGGCCUGAGAGGGCGACCGGCCACACUGGGACUGAGACACGGCCCAGACUCCUACGGGAGGCAGCAGUGGGGAAUAUUGCACAAUGGGCGAAAGCCUGAUGCAGCGACGCCGCGUGAGGGAUGACGGCCUUCGGGUUGUAAACCUCUUUCAGCAGGGAAGAAGCGAAAGUGACGGUACCUGCAGAAGAAGCGCCGGCUAACUACGUGCCAGCAGCCGNGGUAAUACGUAGGGCGCAAGCGUUGUCCGGAAUUAUUGGGCGUAAAGAGCUCGUAGGCGGCUUGUCACGUCGGGUGUGAAAGCCCGGGGCUUAACCCCGGGUCUGCAUUCGAUACGGGCUAGCUAGAGUGUGGUAGGGGAGAUCGNAUUNCU
This 563-nucleotide ribosomal RNA is filed under the name Streptomyces sp. 316H03. Its description in RNAcentral is "bacterial SSU rRNA". It matches the Rfam family "Bacterial small subunit ribosomal RNA", at positions 93 to 670 of the family's 1533-position model. The record is from RNAcentral. Lineage: Bacteria; Bacillati; Actinomycetota; Actinomycetes; Kitasatosporales; Streptomycetaceae.